CCUACGGGUGGCAGCAGUGGGGAAUAUUGCACAAUGGGCGCAAGCCUGAUGCAGCCAUGCCGCGUGUAUGAAGAAGGCCUUCGGGUUGUAAAGUACUUUCAGCGGGGAGGAAGGUGUUGUGGUUAAUAACCACAGCAAUUGACGUUACCCGCAGAAGAAGCUCCGGCUAACUCCGUGCCAGCAGCCGCGGUAAUACGGAGGGUGCAAGCGUUAAUCGGAAUUACUGGGCGUAAAGCGCACGCAGGCGGUCUGUCAAGUCGGAUGUGAAAUCCCCGGGCUCAACCUGGGAACUGCAUUCGAAACUGGCAGGCUAGAGUCUUGUAGAGGGGGGUAGAAUUCCAGGUGUAGCGGUGAAAUGCGUAGAGAUCUGGAGGAAUACUGGUGGCGAAGGCGGCCCCUUGGACAAAGACUGACGCUCAGGUGCGAAAGCGUGGGGAGCUAACAGGAUUAGAUACCCGUGUAGUC
Molecule: ribosomal RNA, 465 nt
Filed under: uncultured bacterium
Lineage: Bacteria
Description: bacterial SSU rRNA
Rfam family: Bacterial small subunit ribosomal RNA
Source: RNAcentral